GGCGUGUUCGUCCAGCCCGGUCCAGGACGCGGCCUUCUCAAGGCCGAAACACGGGUUCGAAUCCCGUACACGCUACCA
RNAcentral lists this transfer RNA (78 nucleotides) under candidate division WWE3 bacterium. RNAcentral's name for it is "tRNA-Glu". It matches the Rfam family "tRNA". Rfam says of the family: Transfer RNA (tRNA) molecules are approximately 80 nucleotides in length. Their secondary structure includes four short double-helical elements and three loops (D, anti-codon, and T loops). Lineage: Bacteria; candidate division WWE3. The record is from RNAcentral.